CCUACGGGAGGCAGCAGUGAGGAAUAUUGGUCAAUGGCCGGAAGGCUGAACCAGCCAUGCCGCGUGAAGGUCAGUGCCCUAUGGGCGUUAAACUUCUUUUGUGCGGGAGCAAUAAUGGUCACGUGUGGCCAGACGAGAGUACCGUACGAAUAAGCAUCGGCUAACUCCGUGCCAGCAGCCGCGGUAAUACGGGGGAUCCGAGCGUUAUCCGGAUUUAUUGGGUUUAAAGGGAGCGUAGAUGGGUUGUUAAGUCAGUUGUGAAAGUUUGCGGCUCAACCGUAAAAUUGCAAUUGAUACUGGCAGCCUUGAGUACAGUUGAGGUAGGCGGAAUUCGUGGUGUAGCGGUGAAAUGCUUAGAUAUCACGCAGAACUCCGAUUGCGAAGGCAGCUUACUAAGCCAUAACUGACACUGAAGCACGAAAGCGUGGGGAUCAAACAGGAUUAGAUACCCGAGUAGUC
This 459-nucleotide ribosomal RNA is filed under the name uncultured bacterium. RNAcentral's name for it is "partial 16S ribosomal RNA". It matches the Rfam family "Bacterial small subunit ribosomal RNA", at positions 338 to 795 of the family's 1533-position model. The record is from RNAcentral.